AGCGAACGCUGGCGGCAUGCUUAACACAUGCAAGUCGCACGGGCCUUUCGGGGUCAGUGGCGGACGGGUGAGUAUCGCGUAGGGAUUUAUCGUUGGGUGGGGGAUAACCUUGGGAAACUGGGGCUAAUACCGCAUGACGCCUGUGGGCCAAAGUUUUAGGGCGCCUGACGAGAAGCCUGCGUCCGAUUAGCUAGUUGGUGGGGUAACGGCUUACCAAGGCUUCGAUCGGUAGCUGGUCUGAGAGGAUGAUCAGCCACACU
This 260-nucleotide ribosomal RNA is filed under the name uncultured bacterium. RNAcentral's name for it is "partial 16S ribosomal RNA". It matches the Rfam family "Bacterial small subunit ribosomal RNA", at positions 29 to 314 of the family's 1533-position model. The record is from RNAcentral.